RNAcentral lists this ribosomal RNA (481 nucleotides) under uncultured bacterium. RNAcentral describes it as "partial 16S ribosomal RNA". It matches the Rfam family "Bacterial small subunit ribosomal RNA", at positions 30 to 506 of the family's 1533-position model. The record is from RNAcentral.
AUUGAACGCUGGCGGCAUGCUUUACACAUGCAAGUCGAACGGUAACAGGCCGCAAGGUGCUGACGAGUGGCGAACGGGUGAGUAAUGCAUCGGAACGUGCCCAGUCGUGGGGGAUAACUACUCGAAAGAGUAGCUAAUACCGCAUACGAUCUAUGGAUGAAAGCGGGGGACCGUAAGGCCUCGCGCGAUUGGAGCGGCCGAUGUCAGAUUAGGUAGUUGGUGGGGUAAAGGCUCACCAAGCCAACGAUCUGUAGCUGGUCUGAGAGGACGACCAGCCACACUGGGACUGAGACACGGCCCAGACUCCUACGGGAGGCAGCAGUGGGGAAUUUUGGACAAUGGGCGCAAGCCUGAUCCAGCAAUGCCGCGUGCAGGAAGAAGGCCUUCGGGUUGUAAACUGCUUUUGUACGGAACGAAACGGCUCUGGUUAAUACCCGGGGCUAAUGACGGUACCGUAAGAAUAAACACCGGCUAACUACGU